UAACACAUGCAAGUCGAACGGAGAUUAGAAGGAAGCUUGCGAAUUCUAAACUUAGUGGCGCACGGGUGAGUAACGCGUGGAUAACCUGCCUGGUAGACCGGGAUAACAGCUGGAAACGGCUGCUAAUACCGGAUACGCUUAAGGGAACGCAUGUUCUUUUAAGGAAAGCAAUCGUGCUAUCAGAUGGAUCCGCGUCCCAUUAGCUAGUUGGUGGUGUAAGGGACCACCAAGGCGACGAUGGGUAGCCGGCCUGAGAGGGCGACCGGCCACACUGGGACUGAGACACGGCCCAGACUCCUACGGGAGGCAGCAGUGGGGAAUCUUCCGCAAUGGGCGAAAGCCUGACGGAGCAACGCCGCGUGAGGGAAGAAGGCCUUCGGGUUGUAAACCUCUGUCAUCAAGGAAGAACAGAUGACGGUACUUGGAGAGGAAGCCCCGGCUAACUACGUGCCAGCAGUCGCGGUAAAACGUAGGGGGCGAGCGUUGUCCGGAAUUACUGGGCGUAAAGGGCGCGUAGGUGGUCCAUUAAGUUAGAGGUGAAAGAUCGGGGCUCAACCCCGAGAUUGCCUCUGAUACUGGUGGACUUGAGUGCAGGAGAGGGGAGCGGAAUUCCCAGUGUAGCGGUGAAAUGCGUAGAUAUUGGGAGGAACACCAGUGGCGAAGGC
Molecule: ribosomal RNA, 665 nt
Filed under: uncultured bacterium
Lineage: Bacteria
Description: bacterial SSU rRNA
Rfam family: Bacterial small subunit ribosomal RNA
Source: RNAcentral